GAACUUGUAACCUUAAUAUUUUAUAUAGAAAAAAUAAUAUUAUAAUGUAAAAUGUUUUGCAUUUUUAUUUGUCCUUUGUCAUCUUCUUAGUGGUUGAAUAUGAAAAAUGUCCAAAAGUAUUGAUGUUUGUAGCAGAAGUUAUUUUAUAAGUGGCAUCAUAAAUACAUAAAACUUCUAUACUUCAAUGUUUGUUCUAGUCAAUGAAACUUGCCACUCAGUUGCUUGUUCAUUUUCCCAUAGUGGCACUAAGGCUAAUUGAGAAGCCCAAUUACGUUGUUUUUUUUUAUUCUUGUAUUUUUCAGUCAAUUUGGGGAGAAAAAUUUAGGGGCUGACUGUUAUGUAUAAUGGAGAAGGGCUGGCUAGGCAACUUGGGAAGUUUAUUUCUUUACUCAUAGAGAGCAGAAGACAUUCUUAAGUCUUCUUUUGUAAACAGAAGAGCAGAUCUCACUCUUUAGACCUAAUGUGACAACUUUGACAUUAUCUGUUAGGUUAAAUUAAUAUUUUAUAUUUUUUCUCAAAGUAGAGCCCUGUUUGUUUACUCAUUACCAAUAGAGAUAUACUGUUUUGCAAAUAAUGCUAUUUAAAAUGGAAUGGAUGUUUUUAUCUCUUAGCAUCAUCAUGAUUCCAGUGGAUCAAAACUCUUUGAAUUUCAGAUUAUUAAAACUAAACUGCUGUGUUUGUUUUUCUGUUUGUUUGCAGUUUUCUAAACGUCUUUUAAUUUACUAUAUUAUGAUUUGGUAGUCACAGAUAUCCCAAGAUAAGGGCAGUUGUUAAAUCUGCAUUUAAUAGAUAUGCAGUUAGGGUUCAGAAAGACUUAAUAGGCUUAAGAGAGUGUCUUAAGAGAAGUAAAUUAAUAGUUUAAGAGAGCUUCUGUCCUCUCAUCCCUAGUCCUAGUGCUUUUUUUACUAAAUAAUGCUAUCUUUCCAAGAAGAGAAUAUUGCCAGCCACUUUAGUCAUUUAGAGAAUUUGUGCAAAGAACCAAAUCCAGUUAUUUAGAAAGAUCAGUGAGAAGCACUGUAUUAUUCUUUCUCAUUUUUUUUUCUUAUUGUGAGAUAGAUUGCACAUACAGAAAAAUAUGUGAAAUGUAUAAAUAGUUUAAAUACUUUUAAGUGAAAACCCAUGCAGUUACCAUCCAUCUAGAAAUAGAACAUUACAGGAUCACAGAACCCUGCCUCCUUCCCUUUCAUGGCCCUUCCUGAUUGGAACUUUACACCUACCAAAAGGAAACCACUAUUUUGACUUCCGUGAUAAUUUCUUUGCACUUCUUUAUAGUUGUGCCUUCUUCACAUGUCUUUCUAAAGAAUACUGUUUAGCUUUGCUUUUUUUUCUUUUGCUCAGCAUUACACUGGUGAGACUCAUCCAUGUUUUUUCCCUUUAGUUGUAAUAUAGCAUUCCAUUGUAUGAAUGUAUCCUGUAGAGAUUUGUGUUGGCUUCUGCGAGGCAGAGAUGUCCGAUUAGUGCUAAAUGCUGCCAAGAAACAUUAAGUCAGGAAGAAGAUUAGUGAAUUAUGGAAGAUGGAGGUUGCAGUUUUAAGUAAGCUGGUUAUAGAAACCCUCUCUGAGAAGUUGACAUUUGUGCAAGGACCUAAAGAAGGGAAUGUCAAUUUUGCGGGCCCCUGAAGGAAGGAUAUCAUCAGCAAGAGAACAGCAAAAAGGCCCCGAAGUAAGAGCAUUCAAGAGUGUGAGGUCAGUGUGACUGUUAAUAGGGGAUAUUAGUAGGAGGUGAUGUUAGGUGAUGAUAGGGAGGAAUAAUUUUUUAGGGCUUUUGAGUCCUUCCUAAGGACUUUAGCUUUUAAGUCUAUAUGAGAUAGAUUGCCUCUGGAAGAUUUUGAGCAGAGGACAUUAUCUAACUGAAGUUCUAAAAGAUUGUCUCUAGCUUAGCUACAUUGAGACUAUAUUGAAGGGGCCUAAAGGCAGAAGUGGGGAGAACAUUUAAGAGUUAGUUAUAAAUAAUCCAGUGGGAAAAUAUUAUGGUUACCUGAACCAAGGUAGUUGGGGUGGUGGUGAGAAGUGGUAGUAGUCUGGAUAUAUUUUAAAGUUAGAGCUGAUGGAUUUCCUGGCAUAUUGUAGAGAAAGAAAGGUGGCUGUAAGUGUUUUGCCAUCAGCAAAUGGAAUUGCCAUUUGCUUGAAAUGGGCAAGACUCUGGGAGACUCAUUUCUUGAAGGGAAGAUGAAGAGUUCAUUUCUGAGUAUAUGAAGUGUAAGAUGUUAGACAUCCAGGUGGAGAUGUCAAGGACAUAUGUACCUGGAGUUCAGUGGACAGAUCCAGUUGUGGUUAUAAAUAUGAGAGUUAUUAGUUUUAUAGAUGGUAAUUGAAGCCAUGAGACUAGAUGACUCAACUAGGGAGAGAAUAUGGCUAGAGAAGAUUUAGAGAAUGAUGAAGUGAGAAACAACCAGCAAAGGAGCCUGAAAAGGAGUGGCCAGUGAUAAAUAAGUCAGAAUAAUAUUUUAUAGGGAGAAGACCUUAGUCUUCUCCCUGUAAAAUAGAGAGCUACUGCAGCCAUAUUCACCAAGAUAAGGACUGAUAGUUCACCUUUGCAUUUGGCAACAUGAACUCAUUGAUAACCUUAAGAGAGCAAUUUUACUGCAGCAUUGUGGGUAAAAGACUGUUGAGAGUGGAUUCUGCAGAAAACAGGAGAGAGAUUUAAGGCAGUGAAUGUACAUUGGUCCCUCAGUAUCCACUGGAGAUUGGUUCCAGGAUCGACCCUUUUCUAGAUUACUUAUACUACCCAAUAUAAUGUAAUUUUAAGUAAAUAGUUGUAUUAUGUUGCUUUUUAUUUGUAUUUUUUUUUGUUAUUAAUAUUUCAAAUACUUUUGAUCUGGAGUUGGUUGAAUUAGUGGAUGUGGAAGCCAGGAAUAUUGAAUGCCUAAUGUAGAAAACUUUUUGAAAGGAAUUCUCUCAAGGUAACAGAGAAAUGAUAUGGUAUUGCUAAAGCGUAUGGUGUUUGUUUUUAUCCUGGGAGGAGUACAACUUGUUUUUUAUUGAUGGAAAUGACUUGGUAGAGGGGAAAAAUUACAAGAGCAAUAUCCUUGAGUAGGUGAGACUGGAAGGGACUCAGUGUAGAAGUAAAUAGGCUUUUUCUAGUUCACACAGAGCAGCAAGGAUGACAUUAAGAAGUCCAAUGUAGAUGAGUGAGUAGGUAUUAUGGUAAAAAGUUACAGAAAAUCUCUUGUGAGGGAUUUUUUUUGGUUUUGUUUUGUUAAUUAGGAGACAUGGUCAUUAGGUAUGGGUAAUAAUGAGGGAGGCAAAGAGAAAGGUUUUAAGGAAACACAGAAAUUCAAAUAAACUAGGGAAAUAGAGGAUUGCCAGGUAAGAUAGUUGAGUAAAGCAAUAUAUAAUGUGGUGUCCGGCACAUACAAACAAAUGCUUUUUUAAGGGUAGCUGUAAGUUAUCUUAAAGGUAAGUUUAUUCUUUAGUUUUCCUUUUUAAAUACUUUGACAGAUUGUAGGGUUGGGGUUGUACUGUCUUAAUAAAAUGAACUGGGAAGUUUCUCUUUCUAUACUCUGGAAUGGUUAAGAACUGUAACAGAAUUUUCUGUUUCUGCAGGUAUAACUUUAAAAUUGCCAUAAAUUUAUCUGAAUCUAGAAGUAUUUCCAGCAAUAGUUACGUUGAGAACAUUUCCAAUCACUACAUGUUAUUGUCCUAUCAGUUUUCUACCUCUCUGACAUCAGUUUUGUUCAUUUGUUUUUCAUUUAAUUUACUUCUCAAGUUCGUUAGUAUCAGCACGAAGAGUCUUUAUAACUUCUAAUAUCUUUGUAUUUGAUUUAAAAAAAUUUUUAAUCUUGCACAUUUGUGUUUAUAUCCCUUUUUCUUGAUUACACUUGCCAGAAGCUUUGCUUUCUUAUCUUUUCAAGUGCUUGGUAAUUUAUUUUUGCUUUUCUUGUUUAAUAUUGAAAGCAGUUAAGACUGCUAAUUCGCUUCUUGGUACAUAUUGACCAAAUUUCAUAAAUUAUGUCUUGUAUUGUUUUCAUUGCCAUUAGUUUGAAAUGUGUUUUUU
Long non-coding RNA from Sapajus apella (tufted capuchin), 3996 nucleotides. RefSeq lists it as uncharacterized. The record is from RefSeq and is a predicted model, not a curated record. The transcript is spliced from 2 exons. NCBI's taxonomy places the organism in Eukaryota, Metazoa, Chordata, Mammalia, Primates, Cebidae.